CCUACGGGUGGCAGCAGUGAGGAAUAUUGGUCAAUGGACGAGAGUCUGAACCAGCCAAGUAGCGUGAAGGAUGACUGCCCUAUGGGUUGUAAACUUCUUUUAUAUGGGAAUAAAACGUUCCACGUGUGGGAUUUUGUAUGUACCAUAUGAAUAAGGAUCGGCUAACUCCGUGCCAGCAGCCGCGGUAAUACGGAGGAUCCGAGCGUUAUCAGGAUUUAUUGGGUUUAAAGGGAGCGUAGGUGGAUUGUUAAGUCAGUUGUGAAAGUUUGCGGCUCAACCGUAAAAUUGCAGUUGAAACUGGCAGUCUUGAGUACAGUAGAGGUGUGCGGAAUUCGUGGUGUAGCGGUGAAAUGCUUAGAUAUCACGAAGAACUCCGAUUGCGAAGGCAGUUCACUGGACUGCAACUGACACUGAGGCUCGAAAGUGUGGGUAUCAAACAGGAUUAGAUACCCUGGUAGUC
RNAcentral lists this ribosomal RNA (460 nucleotides) under uncultured bacterium. RNAcentral's name for it is "partial 16S ribosomal RNA". It matches the Rfam family "Bacterial small subunit ribosomal RNA", at positions 338 to 795 of the family's 1533-position model. The record is from RNAcentral.